RNAcentral lists this ribosomal RNA (506 nucleotides) under uncultured Paraglomus. RNAcentral describes it as "SSU rRNA". It matches the Rfam family "Eukaryotic small subunit ribosomal RNA", at positions 569 to 1082 of the family's 1831-position model. The record is from RNAcentral. Lineage: Eukaryota; Fungi; Glomeromycota; Glomeromycetes; Paraglomerales; Paraglomeraceae.
AGCAGCCGCGGUAAUUCCAGCUCCAAUAGCGUAUAUUAAAGUUGUUGUGGUUAAAAAGCUCGUAGUUGAACCUUGGGCCUGGCUGGCCGGUCCGCCUCACCGCGUGUACUGGUCCGGCCGGGCCUUUCCCUCUGUGGAACCCCAUGCCCUUCACUGGGUGUGGCGGGGAAACAGGACUUUUACUGUGAAAAAAUUAGAGUGCUCCAGGCAGGCCUAUGCUCGAAUACAUUUGCAUGGAAUAAUAGAAUAGGACGUGUGGUUCUAUUUUGUUGGUUUCUAGGACCGCCGUAAUGAUUAAUAGGGACAGUCGGGGGCAUCAGUAUUCAAUUGUCAGAGGUGAAAUUCUUGGAUUUAUUGAAGACUAACUACUGCGAAAGCAUUUGCCAAGGAUGUUUUCAUUAAUCAGGAACGAAAGUUAGGGGAUCGAAGACGAUCAGAUACCGUCGUAGUCUUAACCAUAAACUAUGCCGACUAGGGAUCGGACGGUGUUAUUUUUGACCCGUUCG